CCCAGACUCCUACGGGAGGCAGCAGUGAGGAAUAUUGGUCAAUGGGCGAGAGCCUGAACCAGCCAAGUCGCGUGAAGGAUGACGGCCCUACGGGUUGUAAACUUCUUUUGUCAGGGAGCAAUUGGGUCCACGCGUGGGCUUAGCGAGAGUACCUGAAGAAAAAGCAUCGGCUAACUCCGUGCCAGCAGCCGCGGUAAUACGGAGGAUGCGAGCGUUAUCCGGAUUUAUUGGGUUUAAAGGGUGCGUAGGCGGGCUUUUAAGUCAGCGGUAAAAAUUCGGGGCUCAACCCCGUCCGGCCGUUGAAACUGGGGGCCUUGAGUGGGCGAGAAGAAGGCGGAAUGCGUGGUGUAGCGGUGAAAUGCAUAGAUAUCGCGCAGAACUCCGAUUGCGAAGGCAGCAUGCCGGCUCCACACUGACGCUGAGGCACGAAAGCGUGGGUAUCGAACAGGAUUAGAUACCCCAGUAC
RNAcentral lists this ribosomal RNA (466 nucleotides) under uncultured bacterium. Its description in RNAcentral is "bacterial SSU rRNA". It matches the Rfam family "Bacterial small subunit ribosomal RNA", at positions 330 to 793 of the family's 1533-position model. The record is from RNAcentral.